AUAUGGAAACUGAGGCUCACAUAUGCAAGAGUACAAAGAAGAAAGGAAGGAAGAAAAACCUCUCCAGAACAGUGUCUAUAUGAUGUCAGAUAAAUGCUGUUGCCAUUGACGGAGAUGAAGAUUUGGAGAAGAGGUUCAAGCCCACCCAUUGCUGCCUAGGGACAAAUCAGCAUACAAUUCCUCUCCUCUGAAGCCCAUAAGAGCCUCAGAUUCAGCCAGACUCAGAGAGACAAUGGGAUGACCUGCCUGCAGAGAGGAACUACCCGCUUUGGGUCUCCGCUCUGCUGAGAGCUGCACUAGUCAGGGUGACCUGCAUACAUAAAGGAGCUACAUACUUUGGGUCUUCUGAGAACUGUACUGUUGUUCAAUAAAGCAUUUCUUCACCUGCU
Macaca mulatta (Rhesus monkey) is the source of this 389-nucleotide non-coding RNA. The record is from RefSeq and is a predicted model, not a curated record. Lineage: Eukaryota; Metazoa; Chordata; Mammalia; Primates; Cercopithecidae.